AGAGUUUGAUCAUGGCUCAGAUUGAACGCUGGCGGCAGGCCUAACACAUGCAAGUCGAGCGGUAGAGAGAAGCUUGCUUCUCUUGAGAGCGGCGGACGGGUGAGUAAUGCCUAGGAAUCUGCCUGGUAGUGGGGGAUAACGUUCGGAAACGAACGCUAAUACCGCAUACGUCCUACGGGAGAAAGCAGGGGACCUUCGGGCCUUGCGCUAUCAGAUGAGCCUAGGUCGGAUUAGCUAGUUGGUGAGGUAAUGGCUCACCAAGGCGACGAUCCGUAACUGGUCUGAGAGGAUGAUCAGUCACACUGGAACUGAGACACGGUCCAGACUCCUACGGGAGGCAGCAGUGGGGAAUUUUGGACAAUGAGGGCAACCCUGAUCCAGCCAUGCCGCGUGAGUGAAGAAGGCCUUCGGGUUGUAAAGCUCUUUCGGCCGGGAAGAAAUCGCGCCUUUUAAUAGAGGGUGUGGAUGACGGUACCGGACUAAGAAGCACCGGCUAACUACGUGCCAGCAGCCGCGGUAA
RNAcentral lists this ribosomal RNA (520 nucleotides) under uncultured bacterium. RNAcentral describes it as "bacterial SSU rRNA". It matches the Rfam family "Bacterial small subunit ribosomal RNA", at positions 8 to 523 of the family's 1533-position model. The record is from RNAcentral.